This 253-nucleotide ribosomal RNA is filed under the name uncultured bacterium. Its description in RNAcentral is "partial 16S ribosomal RNA". It matches the Rfam family "Bacterial small subunit ribosomal RNA", at positions 524 to 776 of the family's 1533-position model. The record is from RNAcentral.
UACGAAAGGGGCUAUCGUUGUUCGGAAUUACUGGGCGUAAAGCGCACGUAGGCGGCCUGCCAAGUUAGGGGUGAAAGCCCAGAGCUCAACUCUGGAAUUGCCUCUAAAACUGGUAAGCUCGAGGAUGUGAGAGGUGAGUGGAAUUCCGAGUGUAGAAGUGAAAUUCGUAGAUAUUCGGAAGAACACCGGUGGCGAAGGCGACUCACUGGACCGGCACUGACGCUGAGGCGCGAAAGCUAGGGGAGCAAACGGG